UUUAGAUCAGUGCUCAUAAUGUGUUCUGGGGAAGCUGUAAAACAGCUAAUGUGUUGGAGGGUCUCAGCGGCUUAGAAUGCCGCUAAAUUGGACAGAAAAGCAGUGAGGGGAGUAAGGGAGUUGGAAAGCAGCUGAAGGAAAAGUGGAGAAAGGAGGAGAAAGAAUGGCAGGGGGGAAGAGGAGAAAAGAAGAGAUGAGUGUUUCUUUUUUUAAAAUCCUCUGCUAAGAGAGCCACAAAAAGAGAGAAUUACACAGGAAGAAAAAUUGCCAUUGUCGCAGACAGAGACAGUGGUAAAUGGCGCGUCGUUUUGCCGUAAUUUACAAAUCGUGGAGUGGAAACAAAAUUAGAUUAAGUGGGUCCGUUGAAAUGGACCUGCUAAACAUCACUAUUAACUAGAAAGUGCAUUUUCUGAAGAAACUGCAGUGUGAAUGCUUGAAUCUGAAUGUAUGCACUGAAAUGAAUUAAUUGCUGAAUUUUGAGUUAAAAAUAUUGAAUGAGAUUAAAAAAAACAAAAAAAAAAAACGAAUUUAACCUGAAAACAAAGGUGCUGAACUGCUAAAAGCUGAAGGUUACACAGAAGAAGGAGUUGGAAAAAAACUGAAAAUGUUUUAAAUGUAAAUUAGAAAACCCUAAGAAAUGAGAAAAGAACAUUUAGAGUCAGAAAACAUCUGAAUGAAUAUUAAAAGGUCAUAUUCUUUGAAUCACUGAAUGACUCAAAUGUGAUCCCUCCACUUUGAUCCACACAGUUUAAAAAGUUUAAAUGCCUGAGCUUUGAAAGAUACGGUGUUGGAAAGAGAACAAUAAUGGCGACAAUUUGAGGGUAAAAUGAUGGCUGUAACACUGUGGACACAGCAGCAGUUGAAAGAGAAGUGCUUAAGAUGAAUCUUGGUACAGUGGCAGGCAGAGCUCGUUAAGCAGGCAGGUGUGAGCCUGGUUGCUAUAGUGACCGCACCCAAUGGCUCCAUACACACGUACACAGACAUGCGCCUCACUUUUGCUGCUUAAAAUGAACAGAAAAGUCAGGCCGAAACAAAUCGUUCCCAAAUGAAAAGUAAAAGUCGUAUUGACAAAAUUCUUUCACCGUGAGCGACAGCAGCUUCUAGUCUACUGAAUUCUCAGUUUUCAUGCCUGUGGAUUUAUUAUAUGGACGUGGUGACAGUGGAAAGACACCAUGCUCUUCUGAUUUUCAAACCAACCUUCUGAGCCAUUUAACAUUAGAGUCUAUGGAAGAGUUGGAGGGAGGAGGCUGUGCAUUGGUGACAUUUAUGAAAGAACCAUAACACCUACUACAAUAGUAAACACAUUGGAUGAAAGAGGACAGCCAUGGCUACGUUUUGAGGGUAAAAUCAUACCUGUAGAGCAAACGCUGCGGACACAGCAGCAGUUUUAAAAAAGAUUUUAAGAUUAAUUUUUUUGCUCCUCUCACUCUAGCAGUUGAGCUGCCUCACUCUAGCCCCAACAUUCCGUCCCAUACACACCCAUUAUAAACUCUGAAACGGGUGAAAAAACAUCAUGAAACUUAAACUGGAACUGAAGAAAAAGUAUAAUAGAUAUUGAAAAGAUAAAUACAAGUUGAAUAGUUGAAUGUCUUGUCUUCGUUUUAAAGUUUGAAUGGUGGCUCUAUGUCAAUGUAUGUGGAAGUAGUAAGAGUUUAAAAAUGAGUAAGUUGAAUGAGGAUUUGAAGGGUCUCCCCAUUGAAAUACAUUAUAAAUUUUUGUUGAAUAAAGUUGAAUAAAAUUAAAAAUAUAAAUGUUAAAAAUAUGAAAAAUAGAAGCAGUGUUGUCCAAAAGAAUAGGAAUCUAACGGUGUUUGAAUGGUUUUUCUAAGUUGAA
Long non-coding RNA from Astatotilapia calliptera (eastern happy), 1833 nucleotides. The record is from Ensembl. NCBI's taxonomy places the organism in Eukaryota, Metazoa, Chordata, Actinopteri, Cichliformes, Cichlidae.